AACGAACGCUGGCGGCAUGCUUAAUACAUGCAAGUCGAACGAGAAAGCAUCUUCGGAUGUGAGUAGAGUGGCGCACGGGUGCGUAACACGUAGGUGACCUACCUUUUAGUCGGGGACAACAUCGGGAAACUGAUGCUAAUACCGGAUGUGGUAAUUAAUUUUGAAAGUAGCAGUAGAAAGAGUGCCUCUCCUUGGAAGCACUUUCCAUUAGAUGAGCCUGCGUAACAUUAGCUAGAUGGUGGGGUAAUGGCCUACCAUGGCUACGAUGUUUAACUGGUCUGAGAGGAUGAUCAGUCACACUGGAACUGAGACACGGUCCAG
RNAcentral lists this ribosomal RNA (321 nucleotides) under uncultured bacterium. RNAcentral's name for it is "bacterial SSU rRNA". It matches the Rfam family "Bacterial small subunit ribosomal RNA", at positions 29 to 334 of the family's 1533-position model. The record is from RNAcentral.